AUGAAGCUGUGGAGCGAAGUACCUCCGAACAGGGCCUAUAUUUCCCUAUAUAAACUCUAUGCAUCCAUGGCUCGGCCAACUGAAAGCACACACAAAGACAAGACAACGCUACACGAGGGCAUUAUGGUUUCCGCCAUGAAGCUGUCCGUCACCCUCGUCCUCCUCCUCUCAGGGCUCGUGGUGUUCGGGGAGAUCGCGGACGCCAAGGCCAAGGCGCCGUGCGCCGUGGUGUGCUUCCAGGGAGGCCACAUCACCUGCGACAACUACCCCGGCCAGGAGCUCGACGGGUGCGACUGCGAGUGCGCGCCGGCAGACGGCAAGGGCUGCGUGCUACACCUCGACGACGGCGUGACCCACACCAACUGCCGCACGCCCAAUAUGUAG
This 384-nucleotide ribosomal RNA is filed under the name Triticum aestivum (bread wheat). RNAcentral describes it as "partial small subunit ribosomal RNA". Lineage: Eukaryota; Viridiplantae; Streptophyta; Magnoliopsida; Poales; Poaceae. The record is from RNAcentral.